CCCCUCCCCCUUUUUCCUUUGUUUGUCAGGGGUGUGCGGAAAACAACUCCACGCGCGGCACAAUUUGACAAAAAGACUGUAAUAAUUUUUUUUUUUUCAGAAAAAUUAAAAAAAAAGAGAGAAAAUAAUAAUAAUAAAAAUAAAAAGACAAAACGCAGGCGGGAUCAGACGCCGGGGGUUGUUUGGCGUUUAGUUUGUCUUUUCUUUCCCCCUUCCCUCCCCUGCCCGCCAGCCAAGCUGGCAGGCGGCGGCUCGCUUCCCUCGGCCCGGUGGGGACAAGUCCGUGUGCCGCCUCUCCGCUCCUCCUCCUCCUCCUCCUCUUCUUCUUCUUCCUCCUCCUCCUCCUUUUUCUCUUCCUCCUCCUCCUCUCUCGGCUCCGGCUCCGCAGCGGCCCCGCUACGAUCGCGGCGGCGGCCCGGGGGCGACGCUGGCGCCUCCCUCCCCGCGGCGGGGCGGUGGCGGCGGGCGGAGCGCGGCCAAUGGGCGCCGCACGGGGGCGGGCACCCAGCACCGCCGGCGGGACACGGCCGGGUGGCACCCACACCACGGACCCCACACCACGGACCCCACACCUCAGACCCCACACCCCGGACCCCAGACUCAGACCCUGGACCCCGGUUCCCGAAGGUGGCGCCGCGGAGUGGGGACCUGGGGGGGGUCUCGGCUCACGGGGAGCAUCCCCCGGGACCGGGCCGUCUGCCCGCCCCCACCUCUCCCGCCGUAGCCCCUCUGUAUUUGGGAGGGGGCGACUUUCUGCCCUGGAGCGCGUUGCACCCCGUCCGCCGCUGUGUUUCGGAAAGUUUCCGCACAAAGCCGCUGCCGCUCGCGAUGCAAUCGCAAAGAAAGUCUGCACUUUCUACCCCCUUAAGGUUAAGACCUGGCUCCCCUGACUUCACCCCACACUGAUCUUCACCCCACACAAAGGUUGGCCUACUUGCAUCCAAGAGGAUUUAAAACUAAUGGGGAUGGGUGCCACGAGGAAAAUCUCUGAUCAGCAGUGCACUUUUCUGUCUGUGCUUCACCUGCUUGCAACCAGUCUUCCUAUAACCCAUCUCCACCAUUUGAAGAGGCCAAAAAUGUUGACUUCAGACUGACUCUACAUCCAGGGAGCCACAACAGUCUCAUCCAGGAAAGAGGACUGUUUUUUUUUUUUAUUGUGGUUUUGGUAUGUUCUCUUGCUUUUUUUUUUUUUUUUUUUUUUUUUUUUUUUUUUUUUUUUUUUUUUUUUUUUUUUUUUUUUUUUUUGUAUGUUUUAUUUAUUUAUUUACUUACUAAUAUAUAUGUGCUUUUAAAUACCAUUAUGAGUGCUGUGUGAUCCUCCCAGCACUCCUGAGGAAUCUGUCUAAUAUUCUGGCUAUAAGCCCUGAACCAUCAAGUAUCCAAUACUUUUAUUCAAUUAUUAAAAUGUAAACUAUUUGUUUAUACUUUAGUGAGAAUAGAUAUUGAGAAAAAACAACAACAACAACGAAAACAAACAAACAAACAAACAAAAAAAAAACUUUCACAGAAUCACAGAAUGGCUGGGGUUAGAAGGGACCUCUGAAGAUCAUCUAGUCCAACCCCACUGCUGACCAGGAUCACCUAGAGCACAUUGUGUGGGAUGGCAUCCAGGCAGAUUCUGAAGAGAAGAUAAGGCAGGUUGUGAACAGAAGGUUAUCCUUCCCUCCAGAGAAGGAGACUUCACAGCCUCUGUUGCCAACCUGUUCCAGUGCUCUGUCACUCUCACAGUAAAGAAAUGUCCCCUCAUAUUCAGCCGGAACCUCCUGUGCUUCAGUUUUUGCCCAUUGCUUCUUGUCCUCUCACUGGACACAACUGAAAAGAAUCUGGUUCCAUCCUCUUGACACCCUCCCUCCAGAUAUUUAUUGAUGAGAUCUUCCAUCAGUCUUUCCCAAGGCAUGCUUUAAUAAUGAGUUCUGUAAGUAUGAUGAAUAACUUUUUGAUACAGGUGCUAAGGGAGAUGACAAGGAAGGAUGCCCUCCUUGCUCUGUUUUUAAACACAGUUAGUUGUUUGUAAGCAUAGUGGAAUUCAUGAUUGUUAGCUGUCUUGGCCACAGUGAUCAUGGAACUGUUGAGUUUAAUGUCUUUGACUGUAUGAAAAAAUUGUCAAAGAGCUACUAGAUUUUGGGAGAACAGACUGUAGGUUGCUCAAGAAACUAGUAAGGCCCCCUAAAUGUAUUCAGGUCUGUAGAUGCUGAUCACUUUUUAAGAGCACAGGAGUAGGCAAUUCCAUUGUGUCAGAAGUCAAGCAAAUGGGACAGAAGGCCAGUUGUCUGAAUGGGAUCUCAUCCUGGAAUGCUGGGUGGAAAAAUGUAUUGGGUUUAUGUGGCAAGGCUUUGGUACUGGGAGGUUCCAGGGUGGCCUCUGUGAAAAGAAUCCAGAAGCUGCCCCAUAUUAGAUAAGGGCCAGUUGCAUCCAGUUCCAAUGGGGACCUGCUGCUGCUUUGAGCAGAAUAAAUAAGUGAUGUUGUUUGUGCAUCUGUGAAAGCAGAUUUAAGAAAGGGGAAAAAAAAAUAAAAAAUAAAAAA
This 2524-nucleotide long non-coding RNA is filed under the name Anas zonorhyncha (Eastern spot-billed duck). RNAcentral's name for it is "lncRNA (ENSAZOG00000008707.1)". Lineage: Eukaryota; Metazoa; Chordata; Aves; Anseriformes; Anatidae. The record is from RNAcentral.